Long non-coding RNA from Gallus gallus (chicken), 1027 nucleotides. Lineage: Eukaryota; Metazoa; Chordata; Aves; Galliformes; Phasianidae. The record is from Ensembl.
GGAAAAGGUCAGCGCCGUUCUGCGCCUUCAUUGUUUCAUUCACGAGAUUUUUCUUUCUCAUCUGACUUGCCGAGGUAUUCUCUGGGAGGGAGAGAGGAGGAAACGAGCACGUUUCUGAGAUGCACGCGUGUAUUAGAGGGGAUGCUUAAUUAGGAGACAGUCAUACAGCCCUGCAGCCUGAUGGAGUGAAACCACGACAGUCCUGAGUCAGCUGGGUGGGGCACAAUGCAGCGCUAACUGUGUGCCUUUUGUCUCAUAAAAAUGCCUGAAACAAAGUGGUUGUCUGGCGGCGGGCGGCUGCCUGACCUCCGAAAGGCAGCAAAGUUAAUGAAGGCAUCGCAGCCCUGCGCUCUGCCGGCCCGGUGCUGUGCCGGAGAGCCACGGCUCGUCCGCCCGCGUUGUGCCGCAGCACGGCUGCUUGGAGCUCCGGAGCUGAUUGAUGAAAUUACUGCUAAAGCCUUGAGCAAAGGGCUGCUUUCCCCGAUUCUCCUUCAGGUUCCUUUGCCUGUGAGCGUGGUGAAUUAACUUGCAGUAUAAAACGUGCAGCUCCUGCGAGGCUCGGGGAAGCCUGCACCUAUUGAAAACUGCCUUGUGCGGGAGUCUGAUGGAGAAGAUGAUCAGUGCGAGGGGCAUCUUAAGCACUGUAAGGAUUGAGGAGUUUCCCCUAGAAAUUAAUACUUGCUGUCAGUGCUCGGUGACAGCUUCGCUGCCGGAGCGCAGGAAUCUGUGGUUGGUACUUUGAGCGGAGACGAACAGAAUUCAAUUUGCAUGCAUCGAAAAGAAAAUGGUGGCUUCGCAUCUCUCGGAGGCUGAAUAGGAAACCGAUGUGGUGACGUCCUAACGCUGAGGCACUGUUCUGCAGGGGAUAAUGCCCACGCUGGAGUGUCAUCAUAAAAUUAGAGCAACUUUAAAACGAGCGGUGAACGUUUCGGGAGGCGGCUUCUUUCUGCUGCGCUUAAUAUGUGAAUGUUACAAUGGGUGUCUGCGCUAACAGAGCCCACUCAGAAAUUUAAAUGGGGAAUUGGCU